CCUACGGGAGGCAGCAGUGGGGGAUAUUGCACAAUGGGGGAAACCCUGAUGCAGCGACGCCGCGUGGGCGAAGAAGUAUUUCGGUAUGUAAAGCCCUAUCAGCAGGGAAGAAGAAAUGACGGUACCUGAGUAAGAAGCACCGGCUAAAUACGUGCCAGCAGCCGCGGUAAUACGUAUGGUGCAAGCGUGAUCCGGAUUUACUGGGUGGAAAGGGAGCGCAGGCGGCACGGCAAGCCUGAUGUGAAAGCCCGCGGCCCAACCGCGGGACUGCAUUGGGAACUACCGGGCUGGAGUGCCGGAGAGGUAGGCAGAAUUCCUAGUGUAGCGGUGAAAUGCGUAGAUAUUAGGAGGAACACCAGUGGCGAAGGCGGCCUACUGGACGGUGACUGACGCUGAGGCUCGAAAGCGUGGGGAGCAAACAGGAUUAGAUACCCUAGUAGUC
RNAcentral lists this ribosomal RNA (442 nucleotides) under uncultured bacterium. Its description in RNAcentral is "partial 16S ribosomal RNA". It matches the Rfam family "Bacterial small subunit ribosomal RNA", at positions 338 to 795 of the family's 1533-position model. The record is from RNAcentral.